Molecule: long non-coding RNA, 501 nt
Filed under: Monodelphis domestica (gray short-tailed opossum)
Lineage: Eukaryota; Metazoa; Chordata; Mammalia; Didelphimorphia; Didelphidae
Description: lncRNA (ENSMODG00000039129.1)
Source: RNAcentral
GGAUCAAGAGAGGACUUAUGGCUAGAGGUGUAAGAAAAAAGAUUCUUGGAGGAGUUGGCACCUGCUUUAGGCCUUUUAAAAAGGGGAUUUUGUGAUCAAUGUUAAAUUAUGAUCAAAUGUUAAAUUAUUAACAUUUUCUCAAUUACUUUCUUAUGUUUAGAUAAGCAACAAAGGAUAGAUCAAAUCCUGAUUUGUGGAAUUUUCCAGUUUUCAAAGUAUAAAUAUUCAUAUUGGAAAGUUAACAACCAGAUCUGUGAGCCUGUAUAAACUGACUCCUCCACCCUCCUGGAUAAGAGAAAGAAUAACCUUCAAAUUGGAAAAGGUAGAAUAAAAGUCAUUAAGGAGAAAUUGAAGGCCAUCAUAGGUCUUCAGAGCAUUAUAAUACAAAUUAAAGAAGAAGACCAAGAGAGUCUUUCCACAAGGAGCCAAUUAUGACUGCUUCUCAACAGGGAACAUAUGGAGGCUUGCUCCUGCAGCUGUUUCACAUUGGAGUCUUGGAUG